UUUAGCAGGGAAGAAGCGAAAGUGACGGUACCUGCAGAAAAAGCGCCGGCUCAACUACGUGCCAGCAGCCGCGGUAAUACGUAGGGCGCAAGCGUUAUCCGGAAUUAUUGGGCGUAAAGAGCUCGUAGGCGGUUUGUCGCGUCUGCUGUGAAAUCCCGAGGCUCAACUUCGGGUCUGCAGUGGGUACGGGCAGACUAGAGUGCGGUAGGGGAGAUUGGAAUUCCUGGUGUAGCGGUGGAAUGCGCAGAUAUCAGGAGGAACACCGAUGGCGAAGGCAGAUCUCUGGGCCGUAACUGACGCUGAGGAGCGAAAGGGUGGGGAGCAAACAGGCUUAGAUACCCUGGUAGUCCACCCCGUAAACGUUGGGAACUAGUUGUGGGGUCCAUUCCACGGAUUCCGUGACGCAGCUAACGCAUUAAGUUCCCCGCCUGGGGAGUACGGCCGCAAGGCUAAAACUCAAAGGAAUUGACGGGGACCCGCACAAGCGGCGGAGCAUGCGGAUUAAUUCGAUGCAACGCGAAGAACCUUACCAAGGCUUGACAUAUACGAGAACGCUGCAGAAAUGUAGAACUCUUUGGACACU
RNAcentral lists this ribosomal RNA (583 nucleotides) under Microbacterium sp. Ri3Pt_4476. Its description in RNAcentral is "bacterial SSU rRNA". It matches the Rfam family "Bacterial small subunit ribosomal RNA", at positions 434 to 1028 of the family's 1533-position model. The record is from RNAcentral. Lineage: Bacteria; Bacillati; Actinomycetota; Actinomycetes; Micrococcales; Microbacteriaceae.